UUCAACUUGCCCCGGUGUACCUUACUCGAUUUGUGGAAAUUGCAUUCGAAGAUAUUGGCGGCAUGGACAACAUUUUGCGCGAGUUGUGCGAGCUGUUGCACCAUGGCAAGCAUCCUUUCACAUGGUCCUCCCGGUUCUGGACAGACGUAGCUUGCUCAUACCAUCGCUGAGAAACUGAUAACCGUUCUGGUAGAAAUCCCUGCUACAUACACUCAGGCAAAUAAACCUAAGAUUAUCAUAAGGUCUAACUUAUGAAAUGGCCUUUAAACAAUUCAUAACGGCUAGAACGAUUUUCAUAAGGUCGGUCUAUAACGCAGAAUCGACUCACAGUUUGGCUUUUAUACACAUUUAGCAACACGAUAUUCUCAAGCGUCGAUAGCCGCGUGGGUUGGGCACGAGCUCAGUGAUCUCGACGUUCAUGUAUCGAUUCCAGUCUGCAUCAGUUUGUGAUUUUUCUGCCCUUUUCAUACGUUUAUCUUAUGUAAUUAGGUCAUAAUAUGCAUGUUCAAUAUUCAUAAGGUAUUCUUAUGGUAUCCAUACUUUACAGUUAUGGCUAAAUUUCACAAGGUAUUUUGAAGAAUUUCGGUAGUUUACUUCGCUGAGUGUAGCUGGUAGCAAAAGUUUCCGGUGAAUCUAAGAGAAGUAUCCACGAGGUUUUCGAACAGGCAGAGGACCUUUCACCACAGACAAACAGACGUAACACUUGCGAAAUUUCCAUCGACCACGCUUUUAACGUUGAACUUUUCGUCAUUGAAAUCAUCGUCAUCAUCAAACAUUUGAAAGCAGUUUUUUCGUUCAAAACAAAAGUUUAUGCUAUGAAAAUAUAUUCACUGUACUCCACAUGAGGAAUAUAAUGCAGUGAAUAUAUUUUCAUGAUCCUUGUUUUGAUGUGCAGCGAGAAAACUGCUUUUUAUUUUCCGAAAAAUGAUGACGGAUGCUUGAGCCUUAACGAUCAUUUUAAAUUUUUAUACUUUUCGCUUUCACAACCAGAGGCGCGCGCAUUGUUUUUCUAUGCGUUUGACGUUUCACACUAGCGCCUUCUGUUGACGAUAUUGCACAACGCAGUGAUUCGUGCAACUUUUCCACCAGGGGAUGGUAGUGUGAACUGGGCGAUGGAUUUCCAUGAAAAUCGUUCUAGGUGUUACGUCUGUUUGUCUGUGCUUUCACCAUGCUAGAGUAAUUGUUGAUUGACGAAAUCGAUGCCAUCUCGGUCAACCAAGUCAACAAUGCUCAACAGGACAUGGAACGGGACUACUACGAAAGGCCGAAUCACAAAAGGCCGAAGGCACGAAAGGCCGAAGGUAACAAAAGGCCGAAUUACGAAAGGCCGAAGGGAACGAAAGGCCGAAGGUAACAAAAGGCCGAAGGUAACGAAAAGCCGAAUGUAACGAAAGGCCGAAUGAAACGAAAGGCCGAAUUACAAAAGUAGUCAUUUUAUUACUUAACCCUCUCCUUUUCAUUGCUUUUCACAAUUAAAUCUAUAACAAAAAAAAAACAUUAAAGCAAAUAAAUGUCGUUCAACAUCAAUUAAUUUUACUUAAAUCUUUUUGGAAGUUGGAACUAUUGUCUACAAAUGAGACAUGUAUAGUGAUAUUACAGAACAUGGCAUAAUAUGCUUAUAACGGCAGCACAUAGUGAUAGAAAGGGCAAAUAGCUGGCCGAAAAACUACGUUUGCUAUAUAUCGGGGAAACGCUUGCUGUCCGCACUCGCUAACGCUCGUCGGACCUAAAAAAAGAUAACAACUUAUGUUCGCAUUAUACGCAGCAUACUAUUGGAACUACUGUUUUGCUGGAAUUCGAAUCGAUGCAAUUACGGUGCAUCAGUUAUCGGAUACUUCGGCGGCCUUCUGCCGCCUCAGUUCCUCAAUCCUCCAUACGGCUACGCCGCAUGAUUCACAUUGAUGUGCAUUUUACGUUGGAAUGGAACUACUAAAAAUUUACAACUAUUCAAUUUGAGGUUAUAAACUACUUAAACAACCCUUAUAUACAUUCUUUCAAUUGAUAGAGCAAUUAACUAAACGGAAACCGAGUUAAUAGUUAAUAGUCUUUCGUAUUUCGGCCUUUCGUUACUUUCGGCCUUUUGUUACAUUCGGCCUUUCGUUACCUUCGGCCUUUCUUUAUAUUCGGCCUUUCGUAAUUCGGCCUUUUAUGCUUUCGGCCUUUUGUGGUAGUUACACUGGUUUCGCCCUUUGGUGAUUCGGCCUUUCGUGGUUCGGCCUUUCGAGUUUCGGCCUUUUGUGUUAAUCCCCAUGGAACGUCGCAUUAUGUAUCAGUUGCUGACCAGAGCGGAACAAUUUGCACAAGCUGAAGGGCAGCGACAGUGUGAUAGUUAUUGGAGACACAAACUGCCCGAUCAGAAAGGCAUAACAAAAAUGUAACAAAUUUAUAUCAACGGUUGAUAAAUAUAUUCAACGUCUGUUAGGUAUAUUUAGAUAUAUUUGACAAAAAAGUAUUUAAAAACCUGAUUUAAUUAUAUCAGAAUUAUAACAAGGUCAGUUAUAAUACAAAUAAAUUCAUUUUGAUCAUCUUUAUAUGAGCAUUAUAACAAACUCAGCUAUAAUUUUGAAAAUGCAGUUUAUGUCAAAUGAACAUUUUACAGGUGAUGUAUGGUACACAAUUACGCCGCUGUGUGGUGCUACUGUGCUUGUAAAAUACAGUAGUUUUGACAAGUUUGAAUAUUGAUACAGACCUUUAAGAAAAUACUGAACUUUCUUAACCUUCACGUACUUGACCCCCGAUUAAAUUUAUUUAUUGGCAUACUUGUAGAUUGAGGGUUAUCCCUUAUUGAAAGUUCACAAUCAAUUUCUUGAUUAUCUCACGGUGUGUCUGGUGGAAGAAAUUUAUUACAAAAAAAUAGGCAUCGCUAAUUUUAACGCUACGCGAAAGUUGACGCUACCAGCUUUCAUUCAAGCCUAACAUCGAAAUAUUCCAUCGGGGGAACUUUUUCAUACAAAAAUUGGGUAUGUUUGUUAAGUAGAAAUAGGGAUAAAUUUGGAACCGUUCAUUUUGUAUGGGAAAAAACAGUAUUCUGAAAAAGUUGUUCGGGAUCCCUCGGUGGAUUUUUUUGAGGGACCCUGCAAAUGAAAGCUGAAAGCCUCUAUUUUUGAAUAGCAAAAAAAUUGACGAUGCCUAUUUUUUUGUUAUAAACUUUUCCCAUACACACGCCGUGAUCUAGGUUCAAAUUCACUAACACAAAUUGAAAUUCAAACCUUAAAUAAACUAAUGCAGUAUUGACAUGUUUGAAUCAUCCAUGAUCCAAACCUUUAAGAAAGCUCAGAUAGUCACACUUGUCUUGGAUUCUCAGCCAGCUGCGUUCGAAACGCGCAGCAUCAGAUCGCGCCAGACCGCGCACGUAUGGUUUGUACACGGUGUGCACCUUGGCUAAAACUGUUUUUGUAGCCGCCGGGUAGAAGCUGUCACGUAUAAUCAGACACCUUGUACAAAUCAAACGGGCGCAAACGCGGCUGGUUAACCCCUUAUAAGGCCAAGAAAACUAGAAGAGUUGUCAACGUAUACUAUUAUGGAAAUGAUUAUAUACAUGAUUAUGUGUACAAAACAAUUUUUGUUUGAAAGAAACUCUCAAAAAUCUAGGUGGCAAUAUAGUUGCCACUGCCCGUUCAACCCAAAAACACUGGUGGCAAUAUAGUUGCCACUGCCCGUUUAGGCCACCAGCGCUGGUGGCAAUAUUCUUGCCACUGCCCGUUAAGGGUACUUUUCUUCUUUUGACUUCGACAAAAAACCGGGAAAGAGAUUUUAGAGUGGAUUAGGGUUUAACCCACAAUAUAAACUGCGUAGUUCAGCUCAUGUCAUCCCAUAAUUUGAUUAUUUCUUAAAAUAUUUACCAAAUCUAUAAUUUUACAAUAAGUUUGAGCUAAUUUUCUUCACGCGGUGAAAUUAAGCCAUUUUUGAGACUACAAAUGGCUCCCAAAUUGUUGUAAAAGCUAUGUUUAGUACCAAAAAAUACCAGGCGUUGUUAAUAGUCCCAAUUUUGCGUAAACCAAAAAAAAGUUCUAAAUAAAUUGUUAUACGCAGCACGCGAGCACGAUUCGCGUCCUUGAUCAAACGUUAGCUUUGAUACGGAAUGCCCGAGAGCGACCCUGGCCAUCGCCUGGUACUCUCGGGACGUUUGGAAAACCUCGGCCUUCUUUUUGAUCGGAUGUGCUACUGCGUAGUGGGUCUGGGUACAGUCAACCGAGAACCAUGGCACAAAUGUCCCAAGUGGAGGAUAACGUGCCUCUGGCGCCGGCCUUCUGAUACACAUCGGAGUGCACUCACUCUAAAGGCCUUCCAGCAUGGACUCUUGUACCCGCGAAUGGUUCUCGGCACUGCUUUCUGAGAACACAAACGUCACAAAAAUGUAAUUUGUCUAGCUUCUAUUGAAUACCUGAUCUGAUACCAUUAUGUGCUUAACGAGUGCUUGUAUGUUAUUUUUCUCAAAUGGUCAAGUCGACGAUACCACAGGCUACCGUUCGCUGCUCCACACAUGUUGGCCGCCAUGAUACUGAUUGAAAAAAUAAAGCUAGUAGAAGUUACCCGGCAUUGGACAUUUUCCGGUUAGCUCACUGCUGAACUUCAUCAUAGUUUUCUUCUUCAUGACGUCAUGACGUUUUCGUUCGCUUUUGCCAUACUUUUAUCUGUGAAAGGAGAUUUGCUGGCAGUAGAGGCACCAAAAACCACAUCCUGCAGGGUAAUGCUCGUACCUUCCUUGUUGGCGCCCUUUAUCGUACGGCGAUGCUACGAAGUUAACCCUUUAACGCUUAUGGUGUCUGUAGAGCACCAUCACUUUUUGGCGAAUCCGACCUAAACCAGUUCACUUCAAUAUGUUAUAAAAGCGUUUGGGAAGAGGUUAUAAGCUUAUUAGAGCACUUGUACACUCUAAUUAUUGGUUCAAUCGUGAAACUAUUGAUAAACAAUCAAUAACUAUUAAUAAACAAUUAAAAACUUUUUUUACGAUUUCGAUAAAUUUAAGUGAUCCCUAACAACUUUUGUUCGAGCACUUUUUGUUCAUAGUAUUUUUUAGCAUUCAAAAGUUUGAAAGAAGUCGUGGGCGACAAGGGGUUAAGGAUUGACCAUCCUUAGCUGCGUUCACACCAAAUUUUUUGAAACGCUUCCAGCACAAAAAAAAAAUCAGCAAAAAAAUUGCUGAAUUUCAGCAAAAUUUUCGCUGAAUUUCAGCACAACGUUGCUGAUCAACUGUCUAAAUUGCUGAAAGAUUCAGCAAGCUGAAAAAUAAUUGCUGAUAUUCAGUAAAUUCGUAUUGCUGAAUGAAAUCAGCACAAAAAAGUCAGCAAAGUUUGCUGCAUACCAGCAAACAAAAUUUGCAGUGUUGAUGAUUCAGCUUCGUGAAAUCAACGUAACGCAGUUCUUUAUAUUGACAAGAUGGUCCGUGGCACCAGAAUCUUGCUUGAAAGGCAUCGAUCCCUCAUCCUGCUCGACACCUUCCUAUCUUGAAUACCACUACUUUACCUCCAAAUGCAGCAUUUGCUUCAGAUCGUCUUUCCGGCUUCAAUGUCACGUGACAGUUCUUGGCGUUGUGCCUUUUCUUCUAAAAAUGGUUGCGCUUACCAGUAAGUUUCGACUUCUGCUUCGAACCUUGAAAUGUUCGGAUCGGACAGCCGGUUGGUUUUCUAAAGUUCUUCAGCAAAGGCACUCUCAAACAACAUCCAUCUUCAGGUUUUCUUCUCCAAAGAAAAAUAAGUUUAACGAUACAACAAUUCUAAGCUUAUUUGAUGUUGCUUCCAUAAGAGCUUGAUAACGAAUGAACUCGCUGCUACGGAGCUACUGCUUUUAUACCUUCCUUCACAAGAACCUUGACAAGAACUUGAUGAAAUCGGUGAUUCCAUGAACGUGCUGCUUGUUUUAGGACAUACAUACUUUUCUUCAAACGGCACGGCACACCUUAUCCUCUUGUCCGCGAACCCUGGAGGCUGCAUCAUAAAAAUCUCAUCCUUAAGGUUGCCGUUGAGUAUCAUUCCCCGAUUUGCUGCUACUGACAUUAGGGUCCUGAACGUUGUCUGUCGAACUUCGAGGGCGAAAACUUCAUCAUAAUCAGUUCCGUAGCGCUGAUUGAAUCCUUCGGCCACCGUGCUUUGUAGAACCAUUUGCAACCGAUUCGACUUUCCUGCGGGUAAAUCAACUAGAUCCGAAGUAUUGUUUUCUUUCAUCGCGUCUAGCUCUUCCAUCGUCGCGUUCUGCCACUUGAUUUUAUUUGUGGAAUCCAACGACUUUUUGAGAUUCCUUGGUUCUCAUUCUUCCAAUUCGGCUGUUACACGCAUACCAUUUUGGGAGCUGUCCACGAUUGGUCCUCAUUGAUCGACGCAAAGCAUUUUCAUUCUCGACAUCAUUCGGAUCAUUUUCGUGAUUGCUUUCAGUUCCGCUCGGAAUACUUCCGGCGUCAUCCCAAAUUUCAGCUUCAUCAGAGUCAUCAUCAUCAUUCGUACAAACGACACCAGACUUGUCCGCACGAUCGCUCAUUAAAGGAACAACUACUUCACCAUUUGUUUGCUGCGCUUCAAAAUGGGUUCCACUUGCUGUUAAUGAUAUGUGGCAAUAUGUUACAUGCACUGUCUUCAUUAUAGGCAUAUGGAAAGCAUCAAAACCAUUAUUUGGGGUAUUGUUCGAGAGAAACAAAAUCUUUUCGAAAUUAGACCUCCUGAGAUACCUGAGAUAUAAGAAAGCAUUUAGACGUCAACGAAUGUUUUUUUUUGCAAUACGGUAAAUCCAAAAGACUAAAUAUUGAUUUGUUUUGAAUCACAAGUAUUUCUAUGAUGAAAUGCACUCGUUCUCAACUAUAAUGACGCACACAUCCAGGAAAGUAUUUCUCCGGUCUCGUACGAUUUCAACCAGGCGAACCACCCAGGCAUAGCUGACUUUCUUGGUUCAAUAGACUGGCUUGACGUUCUGGAUUUGAACGGUGUGGAAAAUGCUGCUCUAACACUUUCGCAUAUCAUGGGACAUGCAAUUGAAAGAUAUGUACCAAAAAUAAAUCAUUCCUCCUGUGGCCCACCUUGGCAAACUCAAGAGCUCCGCAGAAUGAAGACUUCAAAACGUGCAGCCCUUAGACUGUAUUCCAAACGCCGAACGCUGCUUCUCCGUGACCAUUCCUUUAGGGUGAACAACGAACAUAAGAAUACUAGCUGUUCGCUCACGAAGCGAAGUUUCCAGUUUCUGCCGGUGAUAUGUUUUCCUCAUAUCGACGCCGACAACAGCGAGACCAAAUUCCAGCAUCAUGCGAGCGAAGCGAGACGAGGACGCGAAGAACACGCUGCGACAUGUUCGCAUCUCAGCGUCUAUCAGGGCACCGACCAAUGCGAGCGAGGCUCGCGCUGAUUGGUGGAUGGUGUGUUUUGGGAAUGCUGGGGUGGGAUAUAUAAGUGAUCGCAUUUGCUCGAAGAGCAAUCAGUCUUUGUAAAGUAGUGAUCAAAUAAACAUCGUUAAAGUGAAACGACUCUUUUCCUUGGACAGCCGAACAAUCAGCCUUUUACAAGGCUAACCACUUGAGAGUUAUUCGAAAUCGUCGAGCUAUCGUCUGCAGCUUUGUUCCUGCGGCCCUCUUCAGUGGGAAGAGCCGGCCAUCCCUCCGUCCAGUGUCCGUGAUCGGACAUUUUGGUCCAGUCGACCCGGAUCCACGAGCGAUCCGUUUUGGUGUUGCACCCGCAACGUACGCGUGUCGUCAAUCUGACGAUUGAGGCACCACCCCGCAUACAGUCCGCUACCCAGUCGCCAAUCUGACGAUUGCGACAAACCCGUUCUGCUGAGACGAUAGCUGGCGCAGUUAUUCAGAGUUGGUUUUCCUCUGGCUGUCCAAGUGUUUACAGUGAGUACUCCGUGUACUAGUGAAACGAAGUAAAUCGCGCGCGGGUGGAAGUUCAGUCCGAUUCGUAAAAGCGAAAGUGAGUCGCGCGCGAGUGGUCGAAGUUUCGGCGUGAACGCCGACAGUGAGAGUGUGUUUCGCUGACGUGUCCGAACACGUUCAAUUCCUGCGUGGUGCGAGAGGCGCAUCACAGUUCCGGUUCAGGUGAACCAGUCAUCGCGCGCGAGAGUUCCCAGAUGCCAAGAGAGUGAAAGCACCUGAACGUGUCUGAACACGUUUCGUUCCGAUGUGGAGAGGAGUGUAACAUUGAAUCUGUUGAGAGAUCCGUAUCCAGUGAAUCAAAAUCACAGUGCGAGAUAGAGAAUCCGAACCUGUCGUGGAACUGAUGAUUCCAACAAGAACAUUUGCUGUGAUCAGUUAAGUGAAAUGCAUUGUCAGUGCGGAAGUGAAUUUUAGACAUGGCCGAACAAGUUGAACUUUUGUUACAAAUUAGUGAGAUUGAAGUGAAGCUGACGUGCAUCGAAGAGGCCCUCAGCAACAUCUGUUUUGAUUCAGAGAAAACUGAGGUGUUUAUGCAAUUCCUCAAGCAUCAAGUGGAAGAAUGUGGACAUGAAUAUGAAGAAGUUGAUUCCCUACUGAUGCUUCACAGAGCAGAGCCAGAAUAUGCUGAGCUUUUCGUGGAGUGUGAGUUGUUGAAAGUCCAACAUUCUGAUGUAAGUAUACUGAUGGAGAAGUUGAGCGUGUCUGCUGCUGCAUCUGGUAAGCCUGUAUGUGAACAACUGCCAGCUGAUGUGGAAACCCGAUCUUUGACAUCGUCGGUGAAGCAGCCCAUUCCAGCUUCAGCAACGAAACUAAAUUCAUCGACAUCGAUUCUUGUACCGUUGGGUGAUCAGCCGUUUAAUCAACCAUUAAAACCAGUGGAAGUGGUAAUUUCUCCUGAUGAAGCUGCAGUCUUUUUGGAAAAGUAUUCCGCAAUCGAGGAGCAAUGUCAGCCUUACGAGAGGACCCUUAUCGUAACCGGGAACAAAGAUCCACACAAACUCGAACAAGUCAUCCUACAGAAAGUGAAGAUGCUCGAUAUAACUGCUUCUGCAUUGAUGAUGAUCCUGCUGAACGAAUCGGAUCAACCGCCGAAGCCUCCCGACCCUAAUGUAAGGAUAUCUCAUCUGACUGUGAAGCCGAGGAAGCCACCUGACGAGCUAUCACUAAGCACUUUUAUCGUUGAACGUCAACCGCAACAUAAAGAACUUUAUUCUUUGCCGGGGAGUAUGUUCGCUCACGAAGCGAAGUUUCCAGUUUCUGCCGGUGAUAUGUUUUCCUCACAUCGACGCCGACAACAGUGAGACCAAAUUCCAGCAUCAUGCGAGCGAAGCGAGACGAGGACGCGAAGAACACGCUGCGACAUGUUCGCAUCUCAGCGUCUAUCAGGGCACCGACCAAUGCGAGCGAGGCUCGCGCUGAUUGGUGGAUGGUGUGUUUUGGGAAUGCUGGGGUGGGAUAUAUAAGUGAUCGCAUUUGCUCGAAGAGCAAUCAGUCUUUGUAAAGUAGUGAUCAAAUAAACAUCGUUAAAGUGAAACGACUCUUUUCCUUGGACAGCCGAACAAUCAGCCUUUUACAAGGCUAACCACUUGAGAGUUAUUCGAAGUCGUCGAGCUAUCGUCUGCAGCUUUGUUCCUGCGGCCCUCUUCAGUGGGAAGAGCCGGCCAUCCCUCCGUCCAGUGUCCGUGAUCGGACACUAGCAGGCAACUGUUUUAGAAGAUAUCAGCUACACAUCCAACGAAAACUGAAGUCGAAACCCAAAGCGUUCUGGCGAUAUGUGAAUCAACAACGAAAGGAGUCCGGGUUGCCUUCCACAAUGAUGCUUGAAGGUCGAGUGGCCUCUAAUAGAAACGAUGUGUGUCGUCUUUUCGCCAGUAAAUUUGCUAGUGUGUUCAGCGAGGAGGUUUUACCCGAAGAGCAUGUAGCGCUGGCCGCUAGUAAUGUUCCACUGAACGGUGAUGUACUAAUCACGAUUGGUGUUGAUGAUAUAACGAUUGUGAGAGCAGCCAGACAAUUGAAAUCAUCGACCAAUCCAGGGCCCGACGGUGUUCCAUCAUCUUUCCUAAAAACGCAUAUUGACGAAUUAGUCGACCCUAUCCCGUUGGUGUUUUCUUUGUCCCUAACUAGCGGAAUUUUACCGUCAAUCUGGAAGAAGGCAAUCGUGUUUCCCGUUCACAAAAAAGGCGAUCGAAAGGAUGUCAAUAAUUGCCGAGGAAUAUCAUGUCUCUGCGCCAUCUCGAAACUAUUCGAGCUUAUUGUUAUGGACCCGCUGAUGUCUCAUUGCAAGCCGUACAUCAGUGAAAAUCAACAUGGUUACAUCUCGGGUAGAUCCACUACCACCAAUCUCUUGAACCUUACAUCUCACAUUACGGACAGCAUGGCUGAACAAGCCCAAACAGAUGUGGUCUAUUCGGAUUUGAGCGCUGCAUUUGGCAAGAUUAACCAUGAUGUGACGAUCGCUAAACUCGAAAGACUUGGGAUCGGCGGCCAGACACUACGCUGGCUCUACUCCUACCUGACAGAAUGCGCUUACUGACGGUUGGACUUGAUGGGCAUAUCUCGGAAACUUUCAAGGCUACUUCUGUAAUACCGCAAGGAAGUCAUCUGGGUCCCCUAAUUUCCCUGCUGUAUUUCGACGAUGUCAACUACGUUAUCAAAGGCCCACGAUUAGCUUCGCAGACGAUUUGAAAAUGUUCCUGCGCAUCCGUUCUAUCUGUGAUGUUGAUUUGAAUGCCUUCGCGAACUGGUGCAGUUUGAAUCGUAUGGUAGUUAACCCUGAAAAAUGCACCGUUAUUUCGUUCUCUCGGAGAAAACAGCCAAUCCUGUUUAACUAUCAGUUACACGGGACAGAACUUCAACGAGCUGACCAUGUGAAAGACUUAGGUGUAAUUCUGGACGUUCAGCUGACUUUCAAACACCAUUUGUCGUAUGUUAUCGCGAAGGCUUCUAGGACUCUAGGAUUCAUCUUCCGUAUUGCCAAGGAC
Molecule: long non-coding RNA, 10836 nt
Organism: Aedes albopictus (Asian tiger mosquito)
Lineage: Eukaryota; Metazoa; Arthropoda; Insecta; Diptera; Culicidae
Exons: 2
Source: RefSeq, a predicted model, not a curated record